This 253-nucleotide ribosomal RNA is filed under the name uncultured bacterium. Its description in RNAcentral is "partial 16S ribosomal RNA". It matches the Rfam family "Bacterial small subunit ribosomal RNA", at positions 524 to 776 of the family's 1533-position model. The record is from RNAcentral.
UACGAAGGGAGCUAGCGUUGUUCGGAAUCACUGGGCGUAAAGCGCACGUAGGCGGAUGUGUCAGUCAGGGGUGAAAUCCCGGAGCUCAACUUCGGAACUGCCUUUGAUACAGCACAUCUGGAGUCCGGAAGAGGUGGGUGGAAUUCCUAGUGUAGAGGUGAAAUUCGUAGAUAUUAGGAAGAACACCGGUGGCGAAGGCAGCUUGCUGGGCUACUCCUGACACUGAGGUACGAAAGCGUGGGGAGCGAACAGG